UGGUGGGAUUUCAGACUUAGCAGAAAAGAGCCCCAAUACCUAAUUAGCCCUGAGCUACACCUGGGGGUGAGGAAUGAUUGCAGCUGGGUGCUGUGGCAGGAGAGGUAAGGUAGGGGAGCAGGGAAGAGAAAAAUCUCACUGUGGUGACAGGGAAUUGGUGCUUGGCUUCAGGAAAAUAACAAGAUCUUUGUGAACAGCGAUCUGAAGGAGAAACAAAGCUGGAGGAAGCCAGAAAUGACAAAUUCUUCUGUCAACCAAAAUCUCUACACAAAGGGCCAGCAAGACAGAAGAUGUUACGAAGUCUGAGCAAUGAGCACUCAGUAAGACAAUCCCAUGGAGAGCAGAAUUUGGCUUUAAUCUGCCAAAAUUAGAACAAGUAUGUCCUGCCUAAAGAACUAAGCCACAGUGGAAGUACCACCCUUCCCAUACACCCCCACUACUCUUGUUUCAGGAGUUUCUGAAAUCGUUCAUCCUCGAGCACACACAGGGGAAGGUCUGUCUCUCCUCUACCUUUCAUUUCCUCGAGCUUCUGUUUAAGAUCCCGCAAGGCCUGAAGCUCAUCAUUCAGUCGAUUCUGUCG
This is a non-coding RNA of Anas platyrhynchos (mallard), 580 nucleotides long. The record is from RefSeq and is a predicted model, not a curated record. NCBI's taxonomy places the organism in Eukaryota, Metazoa, Chordata, Aves, Anseriformes, Anatidae.